GCUGGGCACGGUGGUGCAUGUCUGUAAUCCCAGUGGCUCAGGAGGCUGAGGCAAGAGGAUCGCGAGUUGAAAGCCAACCUCAACUUCUCGAGGUCCUAAGCAACUCAGUGAGACCCUGUCUCUA
This 124-nucleotide small RNA is filed under the name Marmota monax (woodchuck). The record is from RNAcentral. Lineage: Eukaryota; Metazoa; Chordata; Mammalia; Rodentia; Sciuridae.